GUGGGGAAUCUUGCGCAAUGGGCGAAAGCCUGACGCAGCCAUGCCGCGUGAAUGAUGAAGGUCUUAGGAUUGUAAAAUUCUUUCACCGGGGACGAUAAUGACGGUACCCGGAGAAGAAGCUCCGGCUAACUUCGUGCCAGCAGCCGCGGUAAUACGAAGGGGGCUAGCGUUGCUCGGAAUUACUGGGCGUAAAGGGCGCGUAGGCGGACAGCUUAGUCAGAGGUGAAAGCCCAGGGGUGAACCUUGGAAUUGCCUUUGAUAUGGGCUGUCUUGAGUUUGGGAGAGGUGAGUGGAACUCCGAGUGUAGAGGUGAAAUUCGUAGAUAUUCGGAAGAACACCAGUGGCGAAGGCGACUCACUGGCCCAAUACUGACGCUGAGGCGCGAAAGCGUGGGGAGCAAACAGGAUUAGAAACCCUAGUAGUCC
This 425-nucleotide ribosomal RNA is filed under the name uncultured bacterium. RNAcentral's name for it is "partial 16S ribosomal RNA". It matches the Rfam family "Bacterial small subunit ribosomal RNA", at positions 354 to 796 of the family's 1533-position model. The record is from RNAcentral.